Molecule: long non-coding RNA, 539 nt
Organism: Topomyia yanbarensis
Lineage: Eukaryota; Metazoa; Arthropoda; Insecta; Diptera; Culicidae
Exons: 3
Source: RefSeq, a predicted model, not a curated record
GAAUACACCGCUGAAACAUUGCGCAUCAUCGAGCGACGCGAGGUGGAAGAGCUGAUUCCGGUUCCGUUUCUGGCCGAGCGAACUAAAUGUAUCAACGGGUUAAAUACCUGGAGAAAAGCUCAGGGCCUCCCCACGCUGGUAGAUCGUAUACCAUUGCAGUCAAUUUUGCCUUCCACGGAGAACACUGUAACCCGAGAAAACUGCACAGCUGCAUAUUUGCUUGGCUCUUCACCCAAAGGACAACAAAUUAUCCAGCAAUAUAGGGACGAGAAGUUCCUGUCACGAAGCGACAAAAAAAGCAUCACGCAUAUUGUUGUAGAUGAGUUCAAGGAUCGGUUUUCCAAACUGACUCCUACUGAGUUGCUGGAUAGAGCGAUCGAACUGCAUAGACUUUUUCCAAGCGAGCCACAGGAAAUUUGGUAUCAGCCCACAUGGACCAAGGACAGUGCUGGUAAAAAAAUCAAAAUACGUAAACAGGCAAAGGGAAGAUUAUAUGAUCGUAACGUUAAUUAUAAGGAAGCGACGAAAGACAAACCGAU